CCCGCUGAACUUAAGCAUAUCAUUCAGCGGAGGAAAAGAAACCAACAGGGAUUGCCUCAGUAACGGCGAGUGAAGCGGCAAGAGCUCAGAUUUGAAAUCGGCCACCCGGCUGAGUUGUAAUCUGUAGAGGAAGGUUCGGCUGACGUGCGGGCUAAAGUUUCCUGGAAGGGAGCGCCUGAGAGGGUGAGAGCCCCGUCUAGUCCGCGUCUGACGCCAUGUGUACCUCCUUCGAAGAGUCGAGUUGUUUGGGAAUGCAGCUCAAAAUGGGUGGUAAAUUCCAUCUAAAGCUAAAUAUAAGCCAAAGACCGAUAGCGCACAAGUAGAGUGAUCGAAAGAUGAAAAGCACUUUGGAAAGAGAGUGAAACAGUACGUGAAAUUGUUGAAAGGGAAGCGCUUGUAGUCAGACUUGCACGCGGUUGCUCAGCCGUCCUUCGGGCGGUGCAUUCUUCCGUGUUCAGGCCAGCAUCGGUUUGGGCGGCUGGAUAAAGUCUUGAGAAGUGUGGCCUCUCGGGGUGUUAUAGUCUCUUGAACAAUACAGUCUGCCUGGACCGAGGACAGCGUUCGCUAGGAUGCUGGCGUAAUGGCUAUCAGCGACCCGUCUUGAAACACGG
RNAcentral lists this ribosomal RNA (611 nucleotides) under uncultured fungus. Its description in RNAcentral is "eukaryotic LSU rRNA". It matches the Rfam family "Eukaryotic large subunit ribosomal RNA", at positions 24 to 664 of the family's 3401-position model. Lineage: Eukaryota; Fungi. The record is from RNAcentral.